GUGUCAGCAGCCGCGGUAAGACGGAGGGCGCGAGCGUUGUUCGGAAUCACUGGGCGUAAAGCGCGCGCAGGCGGGACUAGCAAGUCGGAAGUGAAAGACCGGGGCUCAACCCCGGGGCGGCUUCCGAGACUGCGGACCUGGGGACCGGUAGAGGCUGGUAGAAUUCCCGGUGUAGCGGUGGAAUGCGUAGAGAUCGGGAAGAACACCCGUGGCGAAGGCGGCCAGCUGGGCCGGAUCCGACGCUGAGGCGCGAAAGCGUGGGGAGCAAACAGGAUUAGAUACCCCCGUAGUCC
Molecule: ribosomal RNA, 293 nt
Filed under: uncultured bacterium
Lineage: Bacteria
Description: partial 16S ribosomal RNA
Rfam family: Bacterial small subunit ribosomal RNA
Source: RNAcentral